This 424-nucleotide ribosomal RNA is filed under the name uncultured prokaryote. RNAcentral describes it as "bacterial SSU rRNA". It matches the Rfam family "Bacterial small subunit ribosomal RNA", at positions 355 to 796 of the family's 1533-position model. The record is from RNAcentral.
UGGGGAAUAUUGGACAAUGGGGGAAACCCUGAUCCAGCCAUGCCGCGUGAGUGAUGAAGGCCUUAGGGUUGUAAAGCUCUUUCGCUAGGGAAGAUAAUGACGGUACCUAGUAAAGAAGCCCCGGCUAACUUCGUGCCAGCAGCCGCGGUAAUACGAAGGGGGCUAGCGUUGUUCGGAAUUACUGGGCGUAAAGCGCGCGUAGGCGGACACUUAAGUCAGGGGUGAAAUCCCGGGGCUCAACCUCGGAAUUGCCUCUGAUACUGGGUGUCUCGAGUCCGUGAGAGGUGAGUGGAACUCCGAGUGGAGAGGUGAAAUUCGCAGAUAUUCGGAAGAACACCAGUGGCGAAGGCGGCUCACUGGCACGGUACUGACGCUGAGGUGCGAAAGCGUGGGGAGCAAACAGGAUUAGAUACCCCCGUAGUCC